Molecule: non-coding RNA, 45 nt
Filed under: Schistosoma mattheei
Lineage: Eukaryota; Metazoa; Platyhelminthes; Trematoda; Strigeidida; Schistosomatidae
Source: RNAcentral
AUCCAGCUGACGUGUCUCAAACAGGACUAAAUCCCUGUCCUGGAU